UCUUUGAAUUCCUUACUUUAGUGAGAGUUGGUUAGAUACAUAGCUUUAUUGUAUUUGAAAACUACAGAUUAGAUAGAUUUAAUUUUUUAUUGUGAAAGUGAGCACUCAAAAUGUUUGAUGAAAUGUCUCAAUAUGAAAAAUGGAUGACUUUGUGGUCUUUAGGAUCACCAACAUUCAAUUGAAUACAUUACAAUNNNNNNNUCAGAACUUCAAAAGUUUGUGUUAGUAACACUACCAUAAUGCUUUGGGUUCCACUAGCAAGUAACCAUAACUGAUAUUUAUAGAAUGCCUUAAGACUCAUUUUUAUUGCUCAUUGUGAUUUUCUGUUCCGAACUGAUAUUUAUUUUAUCACAUAACCUACAUCAUGGAUUAACCUUUAGAGGGACACCUAAUCAUCCUAACAUGUAGUUGUCUACUGGUGUUGUUUGUAUGGACAAAGCUAAUGACACAAGUAAGGAGUUCAAGAGGAAAGUCUAGAGAGACAAUAUGGCAAUAUAGUUUUACCUGUUUUAUGCUUCAUAGGUUUCGGUAAAGAAUAAACAGACUCUUCUCUUUAAUGGCAAAAAGGGAUUUGCUUUGCUACUCUAUGAUAGUUAGAUGGU
RNAcentral lists this long non-coding RNA (602 nucleotides) under Trifolium pratense (red clover). Its description in RNAcentral is "long non-coding RNA (TPRA_LNC010255)". The record is from RNAcentral. Lineage: Eukaryota; Viridiplantae; Streptophyta; Magnoliopsida; Fabales; Fabaceae.